ACAGUACAAACUGAACAGGCAAUAGGGUUUUAGAAAAGCCAUAUGUAGCCGGGUCGUGAGAAUGACAGCAGAAGCUUAGAUAAGCACAUCUGCGGGACAGU
Molecule: non-coding RNA, 101 nt
Filed under: bovine gut metagenome
Description: NiCo riboswitch
Rfam family: NiCo (Nickel/Cobalt) riboswitch aptamer
Source: RNAcentral